This 108-nucleotide non-coding RNA is filed under the name uncultured Mitsuokella sp. RNAcentral's name for it is "Moco (molybdenum cofactor) riboswitch". It matches the Rfam family "Molybdenum/Tungsten riboswitch aptamer (Moco RNA motif)", at positions 11 to 121 of the family's 135-position model. The record is from RNAcentral. Lineage: Bacteria; Bacillati; Bacillota; Negativicutes; Selenomonadales; Selenomonadaceae.
UUCUUCGAGCAAAAGCAGCUAAAGCGGAAGCCAUGCUGCUGCGCCGAGGCCUUGUGCCUCCGGGGCCGCGCGGGAAACGGCGCGACCUUCCCUAGUUGAAAAGGAGAA